This 548-nucleotide long non-coding RNA is filed under the name Equus caballus (horse). Its description in RNAcentral is "lncRNA (ENSECAG00000058836.1)". Lineage: Eukaryota; Metazoa; Chordata; Mammalia; Perissodactyla; Equidae. The record is from RNAcentral.
GUUAAUUCAGGACAGAAAAAUUGUUUCUUAACUGCCGUCUGUCACCAUUUAGGUAAGAAGAUGCCCUGGGUUAAAUAGAAUCCCCUUGAAAUUCAUGUUCAUCCAACCUCAGAAUGUGCCCUUAUUUAGAAAUAGGUUCUUUGCAGGUUAAGAUGAGGUCAUAAUGGAUUAGAAUGAGCCCUAAAUCCAACAUAACUGGCGUUCUUAUAAGAAGGAAAGACAGAGAGACAGGGAGAGGCACACACAGGAAGAAUGUCAGAAACCACCAGUAUUCCUCUAAAGAGUCUGUAUCUCUCCAGCAACUGUUAAAAUAACUUGUUGGGCCACUUUAAAACUAAUUAACAAAGCCUCAUCCAGGAAUAUUAAGGCAGUUAAGACACAAUGUGCCAGCGGCUGUCAGAUGAGUGUCCUUUUAAUUCCUUCUCCGAGUAUUUCUUUCCUGUCCCUCCUAUAGGAAGGAUCACACUAUUUCUUUCAGGGCGCACUUUAUUCAAAUAGUGUAAAUGAGUGGAUAGAUGCCAAAGAGGAAUCUCAGAUUUAUGACAAAA